UACGUAGGUGGCAAGCGUUGUCCGGAUUUAUUGGGCGUAAAGGGCGCGUAGGCGGCCUGCUAAGUCGAACGUGAAAUCCCCGGGCUCAACCCGGGAACUGCGUCCGAUACUGGUGGGCUUGAAUCCGGGAGAGGGAUGUGGAAUUCCAGGUGUAGCGGUGAAAUGCGUAGAUAUCUGGAGGAACACCGGUGGCGAAGGCGGCAUCCUGGACCGGUAUUGACGCUGAGGCGCGAAAGCCAGGGGAGCAAACGGG
This 253-nucleotide ribosomal RNA is filed under the name uncultured bacterium. Its description in RNAcentral is "partial 16S ribosomal RNA". It matches the Rfam family "Bacterial small subunit ribosomal RNA", at positions 524 to 776 of the family's 1533-position model. The record is from RNAcentral.